Molecule: ribosomal RNA, 421 nt
Filed under: uncultured Dysgonomonas sp.
Lineage: Bacteria; Pseudomonadati; Bacteroidota; Bacteroidia; Bacteroidales; Dysgonomonadaceae
Description: bacterial SSU rRNA
Rfam family: Bacterial small subunit ribosomal RNA
Source: RNAcentral
GAGGAAUAUUGGUCAAUGGACGAGAGUCUGAACCAGCCAAAUCGCGUGAAGGAAGACUGCCCUACGGGUUGUAAACUUCUUUUGUACAGGAAUAAAAGACAUUACGUGUAAUGUAUUGCAUGUACUGUACGAAUAAGCAUCGGCUAACUCCGUGCCAGCAGCCGCGGUAAUACGGAGGAUGCGAGCGUUAUCCGGAUUUAUUGGGUUUAAAGGGUGCGCAGGCGGGAUUUUAAGUCAGCGGUGAAAUUUUCAGGCUCAACCUGAACACUGCCGUUGAAACUGGGAUUCUUGAGUAUGGAUGAGGUAGGCGGAAUUUGUGGUGUAGCGGUGAAAUGCAUAGAUAUCACGAGGAACUCCGAUUGCGCAGGCAGCUUACCAAGCCGUAACUGACGCUCAAGCACGAAGGCGUGGGGAUCAAACA